Molecule: ribosomal RNA, 507 nt
Filed under: Longidorus artemisiae
Lineage: Eukaryota; Metazoa; Nematoda; Enoplea; Dorylaimida; Longidoridae
Description: SSU rRNA
Rfam family: Eukaryotic small subunit ribosomal RNA
Source: RNAcentral
CGCGAAUGGCUCAUUACAACAGCCAUCGUUUACUAGAAAAUAUUUAUCCUACUUGGAUAACUGUGGCAAUUCUAGAGCUAAUACAUGCAAAAAAGCUCAGACUGAAAGGAAUGAGCGCAUUUAUUAGAAUAAAAACCAAUCGGGUCUAAAAGCCCGCUGUUUGGUGAAUCUGAAUAACUUUGCUGAUCGCACGGUCUAGUACCGGCGACGUAUCUUUCAAGUGUCUGCCUUAUCAACUUUCGAUGGUAGGUUAUACGCCUACCAUGGUAGUAACGGGUAACGGAGAAUAAGGGUUCGACUCCGGAGAGGGAGCCUGAGAAACGGCUACCACAUCCAAGGAAGGCAGCAGGCGCGCAAAUUACCCACUUCCAGAACGGAGAGGUAGUGACGAAAAAUAACGAGACAGUCCUCUCUGAGGUCUGUCAUCGGAAUGGGUACAAUUUAAACCCUUUAACGAGUAUCUAUGAGAGGGCAAGUCUGGUGCCAGCAGCCGCGGUAAUUCCAGCU